AGACCGAGAUCAAGGGUGGCGGGGCGUUUUUAAUCUGCUGCCAAGGUCCCUUCCAGGAUGGGCUCAGGGGAUCCAGGGGUGGCUUUGGCGGUCUGCGGGGUCUUGGUUAAUUAAAGGGGAGUCUGAUCAGGUCAAGAGGCGAGAGCAGGUGGCAGUUACUGUCAGACCGAGAAAGGAGACUGGAAACAGAGGCGCAGGAAGAGCGAAGGCGGGUGGGGGAGUGCCAGCCCUGCCCGAGGUCGGAGGCCUUUGUCCUGCCGUCUGAGCUCAAAGAUCGGAAUGAUGAGGUGACCAGGGUUUGUCAAACUCCAGCCACUGGAUACCACCUUAAAGAACUUCGUCAUAUCCUCAAAUCACCCCUUCUUAGUAUUAAAGUCUUUCUUUAAACGUUUUAAAUUUAAAAUUUAUCCAUAUCAGGAUUGUAACUAGAAGGCCAGUAUCACUUGCAAAUAGAAGAAAGCCUGAAGAAUAAAGCGAGAACAAGAUGCUAUUGAGUCCCAGCGGGAUCGUGUCACCUGCUCUCCUGGUAACAGAGUUUAGCAUGUGCCAGACGUUAGAGAUGCCCCGGCCCCCGGUGAGGCUUUCUCCCGGGUGGACUAAUAGCUGACACUCGUAGAACGCCAGGCGCUGUGCAAAGCACGUCACAAACAGCAGCUCAGUUCAUCCUCACAUUGGCUCCAGAAUGGGUGUUAUUAUGAUGCCCAUUUUAUAGAUGAGGAAAUUGAGACAAAUAUGUGAGGGCCAAGGUCGUUGAGUUUGCAAGCAGUGGAGCUGGUCUUUGCAGCAAAGCAGUUCUGCUCCAGAUCCAUGUUCCUAAGCGAGACUUGAAAAGGACUUGAAAACGUUCACAGAAAGUGAUUCGUUGUUACUUAAUACUGACCAUGUGCUGCCUAAAAGCACCACGGGCUCUCGGUUGUACACACCAUGCACUUGGGUGCACUCUGAUGGAAUUCCACCCUCUGUGAUAGGCAGGAAACCAGCGGUAGAGAGGUGGUGACUUGGCCAAGGUCACAGAGCUUGUUAGUGGCAUGCCCAGAUCUUAGGUAGUCUAAAUUCCCACCCCCUGCUCUUUUCUCCCUCACACGCAGCUCAGUGCUGCCCCUUCUGCUGUGCUGGGAGCCAGGACUCCCGGGGCUCCUCCUGAAUGGGGAGCAGUGGCCUGAGCUGCUUCCCUCCUGAGUAUCCCAGAGGAUGCUGGUUCUGAAGACUGGGAAGUCCACCAUCAAGGCACCGGCAGAUUCAGUGUUUGGGGAAAAUCGCAAAGAAAAGGUAAACCCUUUGUGAGGAAUUCCCCUGUGGUCACACGGCAGUUCCUGGACCUGCUGCCCAUCUCGGAUCUGCACUGCCCCUUCUUCAAACUUCUGAAGAGGGAUUCAAGUGGCUUGUGCGGUGAAGCCGAGAUUUCCAACUCAGUCGCCUGAAGAGACGGAGGCUCCGUUUGUGGAGCUGGAGGUCCCUGGAGAUCUGGGCGUUAACGUAACAAGCACGGCAAGGGCCAGCUGCUGACUUGACUCCUCUGGGCCUCGACUUCAUCUUCUGUAAAAAGGGGCUAAUUAUGUUUGUUGUGAAGACUAAGUUAAUAUGUGAAAAGUAUGUGACACAAUGGAAGAAACGUUGAGAAACAUUGACAUUAUUUUUGUUAUUUAGGCUACAUUGAGUCUGGUUCACUAAGAGACACCCAAGUGGACACAGGAUUAGAUGGGUCAGGAGCUCAGCAGAGGAGAGAGUUACAGAGAUUUGGGGUCAUUACCAUAGUGGGUGGUGGCAUAUUAAGAAAUACAUAUUUGGUCUUUGUCCCCAGUUCCCGACACAGAGCUCCUCAAUCCCUUGGCCUUUCCUGGGUGAUAGGGGCGUCUUUGUUCCAGUGAGGUGACUGUUGGUGGGCGGGCCCCUAGAUAGCUUCAGGAUGGGGGCUGGUCGCCUGAAAGAUCAGCCUUGAUUAGAAGCCUGGAACUUUCAGCCCCACUCCCACCUCCAACCUCCGGGGAGGGGAGGGGGCUGCAAACUGAGUUAAUAAUCGGUUAUGCCUAAGUGAUGAAACCUCCAUAAAAACCCCUAAGUGAAGGGGUUCGGAGAGCUUCCGAGCUGGUGAACGAGUCCACAUGCCCGGAGGGCGGCGCACCCCGACUCCAUAGGACAGAAGUUCCUGCGCUCGGGCCCUUCUGGACCUCGCCCUGUGUAGCACCUCUCUAUCUGACUGCUCACUUGGAUCCUU
This is a long non-coding RNA of Equus quagga, 2215 nucleotides long. RefSeq lists it as uncharacterized. NCBI's taxonomy places the organism in Eukaryota, Metazoa, Chordata, Mammalia, Perissodactyla, Equidae. The record is from RefSeq and is a predicted model, not a curated record. The transcript has 3 exons.